Long non-coding RNA from Solanum lycopersicum (tomato), 2596 nucleotides. RefSeq lists it as uncharacterized. Lineage: Eukaryota; Viridiplantae; Streptophyta; Magnoliopsida; Solanales; Solanaceae. The record is from RefSeq and is a predicted model, not a curated record.
UUGAAGGUCUACGAGUCUAUCCCAACGCAAUAGACCCUUAGCCGAUACGAUAUCCAAGUAGAGAGAUAUUUGUAUUUUUGAAAGAUCGUGCAGGCGGCCAAUUGAUGUGGGCCCAUAAGUCGAUGGUGAUACUUAUAGGUUCCCCUACCACCUAAGCCAAAAUCUACAUGAUUAGAAUGUGAUUUCACCCUCAAAAAGUUCGUAAAGAUUUUGUUCUUCUCUUCUCUUUACUAGUGAUUUGAAGGAUUCUUCAAGGAGAUGUAGGCUUGUUUUUAGGUGUUGUGCUAAUGUUUAGAGGUAAUAUUUUACCCUUCAUUUGUGUUCGAGUGAAUCCAAGUAAUAACUAAGCUAUGUGAGCUAGAACAUAUGAAUAGACUGUCGGAAAAUUGAACUUGGGUUGUUAUAUGAUGUUGGGCUGUUUUGAGAUAUUUCCCUGAUGUUAUUGCAGCUGCAUUGGGGAAUGACCUAUAUAUGUAUGUUUGUUGUUAAUAUGUAACUAGAAGAGAAACAGAAAUACAGAGAAUUGUUAAAUUGUUAGUUAAAAGUCGAGUUUGUCACUCGAUAAAUCAUGUAUUAGCUAUCAUUUAGCCUAAAUUUAGUUCUACUGUUGUCUAUUGUAGAUUAAGGUGUUGUAACAGACUAAGUUCAGCAAGUCACUGAGCGAAUUGAUGUAAGGUAUGUAGUGGCAAUCUCUUCUCCAUUUCGGCACGAAUCCUUUGUCUUAGUGACUUAUACCGAGAAAGAGCUUAAGGGAAGUGAUGACAUACUUACUCUACUCUUGAGAAUCGUCGAGUUAAUCAAUCUCUGGGUUGUCAAUGUCUAGUUGAUUAUGUACAAGUCCACGAAGUCAAAUCAAGAGUUAAUUCCCUAAAAUGUGCAUUAAAAGACUUACCGAAACAGUUAAAUAGAGAGAAGAAUUGAGGGUCUAAUUAUGUUACUUCUUGAAAUUAUGUUAAAAGUAAUGAUGAGUCAUAUAGAGUAAGAUGUUAAGUCCUCAUUCAUAAACAAGCUUCCGAUUUAAGUGGCUAAAGAAGUAAUAUUGAGCUUGGCAAGCAAAACGAGACACCAAUUUUGUUAAGUAAAAGAAGUUACGUUAAGAAAAUAUAUCGAGGGUUGAUGAGUCCUCGUUGUCAAUUGUUCUCAAGUGUUGCAUUAUUAACAAAAGUGAAGAAUUGUUGAAUCACUUGAGUUAAGCUAUACACAUAGAAACAUAAGAAUAAUCUUUGUCCUCGCUACCGAGUGGAUGGUAGUACAUGGAUAUAACCUAGCUACCGAGUGGGUGGUAGUACACUCAUUCCUAGCUACCGAGUGGAUGGUAGGACAUAUUUAUCCUAGCUACCGAGUGGAUAGUAGUACAUAUAUAUUUAGCUAUUGAGUAGGUGGCAUAUUGAUAUGAGGCCUCCCAUGGUUCUUGAGUAACAGAUGACUUGCCCGAUGUGGCAUUCAGGUUAAAGGUUAAUUCUUACAUUUAUCUUUCGUUGCAGCUGAGCAUAUGUUUUAUGUCUUACAUACCAAUACAUUUGUUCGUACUGGCAAGUGAUGUCGAGGGUGUUGCAUAUUCAGGUAGAGGCUUCGAUAGAUCCUCUAGUAGGCGGUUGUCGAGUUCAGUGUUUUGUUGUACAGGUAUCGGAGCUCAAGGUUCCUACACAAAUUGUCGCACUCUCUUAGCACCAUCAAGAAUUCCUAAUCCUUAAAUAACCAACCUUCUUUCACACCAUAUUAAUUGAAGUUCUAAAAGGGAGGUUUGAUCAGUCACUUGUCUCCCUAAAUUGCUUUGAGGUUUUGAAGGAUGCAGAUAUUGUUGAGGUUUCAAGACACUGCAAUAAGUGGAAUCUGGACCCACCAUAAGCUGCAGGUUUUGCAGAAUAUGCAACUAAUUAAGACCAAGCAUAAAGGUGGCAUACUCUCCAACAAAUACCCUCAACCGCUAAGGGGUCUUUCAUCCUGGAUAAAUGUCGCAUGAAGUUUCAGGACAAAGGGAUUCAGGCAACUUCUAUGUUAGUCAACUCUCUGAUUAAUAGUUGAAUUUAGAUGGAUUGAUAGUUUUAUUAUCAUCAAUUAACACAACCAUGUCAAUGCAAUGGAGAUAAUAAGGUAUAGUCCCAUAUGUAUCUUUUUGGAUGAAAUAUAAAUGUGUCACCGGACACAAUCACUACAACAAAAAUAAUUCUCAGUUGCAAUAUAUAUGCACAUUAACAAAAAGUGUUAGUCUUUACGAACAUUAGUUAUCUGCCAUUGGAUCCAAUAUCGCUAUAGGCUUUGGAGACAUUUACAAAGAAUUUUAAAAUGUAAUUGUCACUAAUAAAAAACACUAAAAGGUUUCUCUGUCAACUUAUUGGACACCCUUCUACAUGUGCGGGUGAACUUAUUAGUGUACUUGAUGCAUCUGGAGUCGCACUAAAGAUUUCAACAGCACACCCAAGGCUAAGGUGCAAGAUCAAGUCCUUCCCUCAGCCAUAAAGAGGCUCAACUCAACUAUAAGGUGGAUUUUGAAGAAAUACAUUCCAGCGAACUACUAAAAAGUUAAAAGGAGAUAAUCAAUAAAGUAAAGGAAAACAUUCAAAUCAAUAAAGAGAGAGAGAAAGUACGAACUUAU